Molecule: ribosomal RNA, 253 nt
Filed under: uncultured bacterium
Lineage: Bacteria
Description: partial 16S ribosomal RNA
Rfam family: Bacterial small subunit ribosomal RNA
Source: RNAcentral
GACAGAGGGUGCAAACGUUGUUCGGAAUUACUGGGCGUAAAGCGCGCGUAGGCGGCUACUUAAGUCGGAUGUGAAAGCCCUUGGCUCAACUGAGGAAGUGCACCCGAAACUGAGUGGCUAGAGUACGAAAGAGGGUCGCGGAAUUCCCGGUGUAGAGGUGAAAUUCGUAGAUAUCGGGAGGAACACCGGUGGCGAAGGCGGCGACCUGGGUCGAUACUGACGCUGAUGCGCGAAAGCGUGGGGAGCAAACAGG